GGCACUUUUCUCCCAUGAGCUGCGAGGGGUUCCUUCUUCUCAGCUAAGGCUGGAGGCCAAGAUCAGCCCUUGAGGACUGUCAUCAGGACUACCGUGUUUUCCUGCCUCCGACAGUG
Callithrix jacchus (white-tufted-ear marmoset) is the source of this 116-nucleotide non-coding RNA. NCBI's taxonomy places the organism in Eukaryota, Metazoa, Chordata, Mammalia, Primates, Cebidae. The record is from Ensembl.